Molecule: ribosomal RNA, 407 nt
Filed under: uncultured bacterium
Lineage: Bacteria
Description: partial 16S ribosomal RNA
Rfam family: Bacterial small subunit ribosomal RNA
Source: RNAcentral
GACGAACGCUGGCGGCGUGCCUAAUACAUGCAAGUAGAACGCAGUUGCGAACGGGUGAGUAACGCGUAGGUAACUGCCUCAUAGCGGGGGAUAACUAUGGGAAACGAUAGCUAAUACCGCAUACUGUGAGAUGGACCUGCGUUGGAUUAGCUAGUUGGUGAGGUAAAGGCUCACCAAGGCGACGAUCCCUAGCUGGUCUGAGAGGGUGAACAGCCACCCUGGAACUGAGACACGGUCCAGACUCCUACGGGAGGCAGCAGUGGGGAAUAUUGCACAAUGGGCGCAAGCCUGAUGGAGCCAUGCCGCGUGUGUGAAGAAGGUCUUCGGGUUUUAAAGUACUUUUAGCGGGGAGGCGUUACUCGCACAAGAAGCACCGGCUAACUCCGUGCCAGCAGCCGCGGUAAUAC